Molecule: transfer RNA, 64 nt
Filed under: Apilitermes longiceps
Lineage: Eukaryota; Metazoa; Arthropoda; Insecta; Blattodea; Termitidae
Description: tRNA-His
Source: RNAcentral
AUCUAAAUAGUUUAAGUAUAAAAUAUUGGUUUGUGGUGCCAGUGAUAUAGAUGUAUUUUAGAUU